RNAcentral lists this ribosomal RNA (896 nucleotides) under uncultured eukaryote. RNAcentral's name for it is "SSU rRNA". It matches the Rfam family "Eukaryotic small subunit ribosomal RNA", at positions 572 to 1498 of the family's 1831-position model. The record is from RNAcentral.
AGCCGCGGUAAUUCCAGCUCCAAUAGCGUAUAUUAAAGUUGUUGCAGUUAGAACGCUCGUAGUCGGAUUUCGGGGCAGUCCGACCGGUCUGCCGAUGGGUAUGCACUGGCCGGAGUGUCCUUUUUGCCGGAGACCGUGCCUACUCUUAACUGAGCGGGGGCGGGAGACGGCACUUUUACUUUGAAAAAAUCAGAGUGUUUCAAGCAGGCAGCUCGCUCUUGCAUGGAUUAGCAUGGGAUAAUGAAAUAGGACUUUGGUGCUAUUUUGUUGGUUUCGAACACCGAAGUAAUGAUGAGAAGGGACAGUCAGGGGCACUCGUAUUCCGCAGAGAGAGGUGAAAUUCUCAGACCCGCGGAAGACGAACCACUGCGAAAGCAUUUGCCAGGGAUGUUUUCACUGAUCAAGAACGAAAGUUAGGGGAUCGAAGAUGAUCAGAUACCGUCGUAGUCUUAACCAUAAACCAUGCCGACUAGGGAUUGGAGGAUGUUCACUGAUUGACUCCUUCAGCACCUUACGGGAAACUAAAGUCUUUGGGUUCCGAGGGGAGUAUGGUCGCAAGGCUGAAACUUAAAGGAAUUGACGGAAGGGCACCACCAGGUGUGGAGCCUGCGGCUUAAUUUGACUCAACACGGGGAAACUUACCAGGUCCAGACAUUGUGAGGAUUGACAGAUUGAGAGCUCUUUCUUGAUUCGAUGGGUGGUGGUGCAUGGCCGUUCUUAGUUGGUGGAGUGAUUUGUCUGGUUAAUUCCGUUAACGAACGAGACCUUAGCCUGCUAAAUAGUGACGCGAACUCUUUGUUGGCGGGCCACUUCUUAGAGGGACAACUUGUCUUCAACAAGUGGAAGUUUGAGGCAAUAACAGGUCUGUGAUGCCAGGCGAUCGUUAACUUGCAGAC